UGGGGAAUAUUGCGCAAUGGGCGAAAGCCUGACGCAGCAACGCCGCGUGGGGGAUGAAGGCCUUCGGGUUGUAAACCCCUUUCAGCAGGGAAGAAGCGAGAGUGACGGUACCUGCAGAAGAAGCACCGGCUAACUAGGUGCCAGCAGCCGCGGGAAUACGUAGGGGGCGAGCGUUGUCCGGAAUUAUUGGGCGUAAAGAGCGUGUAGGCGGCCUGGUAAGUCUGCCGUGAAAACCUGGGGCUCAACCCUGGGCGUGCGGUGGAUACUGCUAGGCUAGAGGAUGGUAGAGGCGAGUGGAAUUCCCGGUGUAGCGGUGAAAUGCGCAGAUAUCGGGAGGAACACCAGUAGCGAAGGCGGCUCGCUGGGCCAUUCCUGACGCUGAGACGCGAAAGCGUGGGGAGCAAACAGGAUUAGAUACCCGCGUAGUCC
This 429-nucleotide ribosomal RNA is filed under the name uncultured prokaryote. Its description in RNAcentral is "bacterial SSU rRNA". It matches the Rfam family "Bacterial small subunit ribosomal RNA", at positions 355 to 796 of the family's 1533-position model. The record is from RNAcentral.